AAGCUCGUAGUUGAAUUUCGGGGUUAGUAGGUUGGUCAUGCCUCCGGUAUGUACUGGUCUCACUGAUUCCUCCUUCCUGAUGAACCGUAAUGCCAUUAAUUUGGUGUUGCGGGGAAUUUGGACUGUUACUUUGAAAAAAUUAGAGUGUUUAAAGCAAGCUAACGCUUGAAUACAUUAGUAUGGAAUAAUGAAAUAGGACGUUCGAUCCUAUUUUGUUGGUUUCUUAGGAUUGACGUAAUGAUUAAUAGGGAUAGUUGG
This 258-nucleotide ribosomal RNA is filed under the name uncultured Glomus. RNAcentral describes it as "partial 18S ribosomal RNA". It matches the Rfam family "Eukaryotic small subunit ribosomal RNA", at positions 624 to 885 of the family's 1831-position model. The record is from RNAcentral. Lineage: Eukaryota; Fungi; Glomeromycota; Glomeromycetes; Glomerales; Glomeraceae.